Molecule: long non-coding RNA, 381 nt
Organism: Microplitis mediator
Lineage: Eukaryota; Metazoa; Arthropoda; Insecta; Hymenoptera; Braconidae
Exons: 3
Source: RefSeq, a predicted model, not a curated record
AAAAAAUAUGUUAACGUACUUGACUAGAUUAUAUAAGUAUAAAUUCAAAUAAAAUUAAAUAGUGAAGAUGGAGAUUAAAAAAAAAGUUGACAAUACAAUCAUUCAUCAGAAGACAAUGGAACUCAAAUUUGGUGGGAAACUUAUUUUUUAAGGGGUUAUAUCCACUUAUGGUGCUGGAAUAGAUGACACGAUAUAAUUUGGACCAGAAAUAUCUUGCUCACCGCCAAGCACCUUUUUUUGGAGGUCUCUCCGCAGAUCAUCUACAGGAGCUAGGGGAUCCAAUAUUUUUUUAAAUAAACCGCUGAUUGUUAAAGUACAUUAAAUUCUGUUUAAGUACAUUUUUUCCAUUAAUGUAUAAAAUAAAAUGCCUCUUUGAAAAAA